GUCGAGCGCACCCUUCGGGGCGAGCGGCGGACGGGUUAGUAACGCGUGGGAACAUACCCUUUUCUAUGGAAUAGCCUUUGGAAACGAAGAGUAAUACCAUAUACGCCCUUCGGGGGAAAGAUUUAUCGGAGAAGGAUUGGCCCGCGUAAGAUUAGAUAGUUGGUGGGGUAAUGGCCUACCAAGUCUACGAUCUUUAGCUGGUUUUAGAGGAUGAUCAGCAACACUGGAACUGAGACACGGUCCAGACUCCUACGGGAGGCAGCAGUGGGGAAUAUUGCACAAUGGGGGGAACCCUGAUGCAGCCAUGCCGCGUGUGUGAAGAAGGCCUUCGGGUUGUAAAGCACUUUCAGUUGUGAGGAAAGUUUGAUGGUUAAUACCCAUUAGAUGUGACGUUAACAACAGAAGAAGGACCGGCUAACUCCGUGCCAGCAGCCGCGGUAAUACGGAGGGUCCGAGCGUUAAUCGGAAUUACUGGGCGUAAAGCGCACGCAGGCGGUUUGUUAAGCUAGAUGUGAAAGCCCCGGGCUCAACCUGGGAAUAGCAUUUAGAACUGGCAGACUAGAGUCUUGGAGAGGGGAGUGGAAUUUCUGGUGUAGCGGUGAAAUGCGUAGAUAUCAGAAGGA
This 623-nucleotide ribosomal RNA is filed under the name uncultured bacterium. RNAcentral's name for it is "bacterial SSU rRNA". It matches the Rfam family "Bacterial small subunit ribosomal RNA", at positions 61 to 705 of the family's 1533-position model. The record is from RNAcentral.